UGUAGCCAUUUUUUGGGUCCA
Molecule: non-coding RNA, 21 nt
Filed under: Caenorhabditis elegans
Lineage: Eukaryota; Metazoa; Nematoda; Chromadorea; Rhabditida; Rhabditidae
Source: RNAcentral